RNAcentral lists this ribosomal RNA (252 nucleotides) under uncultured bacterium. Its description in RNAcentral is "partial 16S ribosomal RNA". It matches the Rfam family "Bacterial small subunit ribosomal RNA", at positions 525 to 776 of the family's 1533-position model. The record is from RNAcentral.
ACGGAGGGUGCAAGCGUUAUCCGGAAUCACUGGGUUUAAAGGGUGCGUAGGCGGAUAAAUAAGUCAGAGGUGAAAGCUUUCCGCUUAACGGGAAAAUUGCCUUUGAUACUGUUUAUCUUGAAUUAUGUUGAGGUUAGCGGAAUGUGACAUGUAGCGGUGAAAUGCAUAGAUAUGUCAUAGAACACCAAUUGCGAAGGCAGCUAGCUAGGCAUAUAUUGACGCUGAGGCACGAAAGCGUGGGGAGCGAACAGG